Molecule: ribosomal RNA, 504 nt
Filed under: uncultured bacterium
Lineage: Bacteria
Description: partial 16S ribosomal RNA
Rfam family: Bacterial small subunit ribosomal RNA
Source: RNAcentral
AUUGAACGCUGGCGGCAUGCCUUACACAUGCAAGUCGAACGGCAGCAUGGAGAGCUUGCUCUCUGAUGGCGAGUGGCGAACGGGUGAGUAAUGCAUCGGAACGUACCGUGUAAUGGGGGAUAACGUAGCGAAAGUUACGCUAAUACCGCAUACGACCUGGGGGUGAAAGCAGGGGAUCGCAAGACCUUGCGUUGUCCGAGCGGCCGAUGUCAGAUUAGCUAGUUGGUGAGGUAAAGGCUCACCAAGGCGACGAGCUGUAGCGGGUCUGAGAGGAUGAUCCGCCACACUGGGACUGAAACACGGCCCAGACUCCUACGGGAGGCAGCAGUGGGGAAUUUUGGACAAUGGGGGCAACCCUGAUCCAGCCAUGCCGCGUGAGUGAAGAAGGCCUUCGGGUUGUAAAGCUCUUUCGGCCGGGAAGAAAUCGCACAGGCUAAUACUCUGUGUGGAUGACGGUACCGGCAUAAGAAGCACCGGCUAACUACGUGCCAGCAGCCGCGGUAA